Molecule: ribosomal RNA, 186 nt
Filed under: Triticum aestivum (bread wheat)
Lineage: Eukaryota; Viridiplantae; Streptophyta; Magnoliopsida; Poales; Poaceae
Description: partial small subunit ribosomal RNA
Source: RNAcentral
AUGGAGGGGAAGAGCCACGGCAGGUCCGGGACGUGGCGGCAAGCGCCGGUGCCCGUGAGGCAGCUGUUCUGGAGGCUGAGGCGCGCUAUGCUGAGGCCGAAGCGCCACGCCGUGAGCUUCGGGUACGACCUCAAGAGCUACUCCCGUAACUUUGAUGACGGCCUCGUCCCUGCUCACCGCCUGUAG